UGAGGAAUAUUGGUCAAUGGGCGGGAGCCUGAACCAGCCAAGUCGCGUGAAGGAAGAAGGAUCUAUGGUUCGUAAACUUCUUUUGCAGGGGAAUAAAGUGCAGGACGUGUCCUGUUUUGUAUGUACCCUGAGAAUAAGGAUCGGCUAACUCCGUGCCAGCAGCCGCGGUAAUACGGAGGAUCCGAGCGUUAUCCGGAUUUAUUGGGUUUAAAGGGUGCGUAGGUGGUUUGAUAAGUCAGCGGUGAAAGUUUGCAGCUUAACUGUAAAAAUGCCGUUGAAACUGUCGGACUUGAGUGUAAAUGAGGUAGGCGGAAUGCGUGGUGUAGCGGUGAAAUGCAUAGAUAUCACGCAGAACUCCGAUUGCGAAGGCAGCUUACUAAGCUACAACUGACACUGAAGCACGAAAGCGUGGGGAUCAAACAGGAUUAGAUACCCUGGUAGUCCACGCAGUAAACGAUGAUUACUAGCUGUUUGCGAUACACAGUAAGCGGCACAGCGAAAGCGUUAAGUAAUCCACCUGGGGAGUACGCCGGCAACGGUG
RNAcentral lists this ribosomal RNA (541 nucleotides) under uncultured Bacteroides sp. Its description in RNAcentral is "bacterial SSU rRNA". It matches the Rfam family "Bacterial small subunit ribosomal RNA", at positions 355 to 896 of the family's 1533-position model. Lineage: Bacteria; Pseudomonadati; Bacteroidota; Bacteroidia; Bacteroidales; Bacteroidaceae. The record is from RNAcentral.